This 332-nucleotide ribosomal RNA is filed under the name uncultured bacterium. RNAcentral's name for it is "bacterial SSU rRNA". It matches the Rfam family "Bacterial small subunit ribosomal RNA", at positions 29 to 342 of the family's 1533-position model. The record is from RNAcentral.
AACGAACGCUGGCGGCGUGCCUAACACAUGCAAGUCGCGCGAGAAAGUGGGGGCGAACUCCAUGAGUAAAGACGGCGCACGGGUGAGUAAUACGUAGGUAACCUGCCCUCGAGACCGGGAUAACCUUCCGAAAGGAGGGCUAAUACCGGAUAAGACCACGAAGUUUCGGCUUCGGGGUCAAAGGUGGCCUCUGCAUGCAAGCUAUCACUCGAAGAUGGGCCUGCGCACCAUUAGCUAGUUGGCGAGGUAACGGCUCACCAAGGCGAAGAUGGUUAGCUGGUCUGAGAGGAUGACCAGCCACACUGGGACUGAGACACGGCCCAGACUCCUAC